Molecule: ribosomal RNA, 371 nt
Filed under: uncultured bacterium
Lineage: Bacteria
Description: bacterial SSU rRNA
Rfam family: Bacterial small subunit ribosomal RNA
Source: RNAcentral
GGAGGAUGCAAGUGUUAUCCGGAAUUAUUGGGCGUAAAGCGUCUGUAGGUGGUUUAAAAAGUCCAUGGUUAAAACUUGAAGCUUAACUUCAAAGAUGCCAUGGAAACUUUUAAACUUGAGUAUGGUAGGGGUAAAGGGAAUUUCCAGUGGAGCGGUGAAAUGCGUAGAUAUUGGAAAGACCACCGACGGCGAAGGCACUUUACUGGGCCAUUACUGACACUAAGAGACGAAAGCUAGGGGAGCAAAUGGGAUUAGAUACCCCAGUAGUCCUAGCUGUAAGCGAUGGAUACUAGAUGUUGUGUGUAUUGACCCAUGCAGUAUCGUAGCUAACGCGUUAAGUAUCCCGCCUGGGAAGUAUGCUCGCAAGAGUG